CGAAAAGCUACCACCAAACUUGAACUUAGUUGUAAGCGACAAAAAUUGGCAGACAUCACAGAUGGAACGAACAGUAAUCACUUGUUAACAGAUCAUCAGCUGAUGAUUCUUGCAAUGAAAAUGGGUAAAGACUGGAAAGUCAUUGGUAUUGGAUGUCUGAAGUUGACCUUGCAAGAUAUCGAACAGAUUGAAGCAAAAGAAGAAGAUGUUAAUAUGUAUAAAUGUAUGAUGCUGCGGAAGUGGAGAGAUUCUGAACAAAAUAAUGGAACAGCCCACAAUUUAUAUAAAUGUCUUGAUGGUCAAGUAUCCCAUGAGCUGCUAGAACUCCUGAAAGGUUUUUUGCAACAAACGUGAGUUCAUAUGGAACCAACUUCAAACAGAAAUAUUGGGAACAUUCUUUUGUAAAUUUUCCAGCUGCCUAAAAGGAAUUUUAGUACUUGGCAGGAACUUAGAAACACUUUAAAACUAAGAAAGAAAAUGAUGGACCAAUUGUUGAAACUCAGGAUUAAAUAUGGUUUGGGAAGGAAGCAAAGUGAGUAGAAUCAUGAACUUCUGCAAAGGCAUUUCCCCCUACACUUUACUCAUAGGUUCCCAGAGACCAUUUGCACAAUCAACAAUUCCUUCACAUCCAGGAGAACUGGUGCUUUCCCAAAAUGUUUUCAGUUUUUGUUUGGAUGAGGUGUGCCUCCCCUCCAACACAUAUAAAAAUAUCAAUCUGGCGUAGUGUUGUAAAGGCACUUUCGAACUGUGCAUGCCCCAAAAUAGAAGCAUUCAAAGUUUACAGGUAGCCUCAAAUGUUCUCAUUCUAAAUUCUAUCUCUACUGUAGCAUUCAGACUUUUUUUCUGGCUACUAUAUUUGUUUCUUGGAAGAUAUUAUGGUUGUCCUUCUGUAAGAUGCAACUGAAGGGCAUGUUGCAUGCCCACAUUUUUCUGUGAUAUUUGUUACCCCUAGACCUUGUUUUUAAUUUAGAGGGCUGGCACAAUGUUUAGAAAUCCCCUGCUUUUUUAUUCAAAAGUAUAUUAAAACAGUUCAACAAUUCAUGUGAAGAAAAGCUGAUUUUCAGAGGAUUUGUAUAUAGAACGAUACAAAUUUGCAUAAAUAAUUCCUGUUUUAAAUGAUAGUUUUGUUUUAGUGAGUGUUAAGAAGCAUUGAUGAAAUCCAAUUGUCAAAAUACAAGAAAUACUUACCCAUUAUUUCUCCUGA
This 1204-nucleotide long non-coding RNA is filed under the name Notechis scutatus (mainland tiger snake). RNAcentral's name for it is "lncRNA (ENSNSUG00000000789.1)". The record is from RNAcentral. Lineage: Eukaryota; Metazoa; Chordata; Lepidosauria; Squamata; Elapidae.